Molecule: long non-coding RNA, 84 nt
Organism: Sinocyclocheilus rhinocerous
Lineage: Eukaryota; Metazoa; Chordata; Actinopteri; Cypriniformes; Cyprinidae
Exons: 3
Source: RefSeq, a predicted model, not a curated record
ACAUUAUUUUUCAAAUACUAGAAAAAAAGAUCUGCACACUGUUAUUCUCCCUUUAUUCAAAAAAGUUAAAAAUAACAACGUUUC